RNAcentral lists this ribosomal RNA (450 nucleotides) under uncultured bacterium. RNAcentral describes it as "partial 16S ribosomal RNA". It matches the Rfam family "Bacterial small subunit ribosomal RNA", at positions 354 to 796 of the family's 1533-position model. The record is from RNAcentral.
GUGGGGAAUUUUGGACAAUGGGCGCAAGCCUGAUCCAGCAAUGCCGCGUGCAGGAAGAAGGCCUUCGGGUUGUAAACUGCUUUUGUACGGAACGAAACGGUCCGGGUUAAUACCCUGGGCUAAUGACGGUACCGUAAGAAUAAGCACCGGCUAACUACGUGCCAGCAGCCGCGGUAAUACGUAGGGUGCAAGCGUUAAUCGGAAUUACUGAGCGUAAAGCGUGCGCAGGCGGUUUUGUAAGACAGGCGUGAAAUCCCCGGGCUCAACCUGGGAAUUGCGCUUGUGACUGCAAGGCUGGAGUGCGGCAGAGGGGGAUGGAAUUCCGCGUGUAGCAGUGAAAUGCGUAGAUAUGCGGAGGAACACCGAUGGCGAAGGCAAUCCCCUGGGCCUGCACUGACGCUCAUGCACGAAAGCGUGGGGAGCAAACAGGAUUAGAUACCCUGGUAGUCC